Equus caballus (horse) is the source of this 638-nucleotide long non-coding RNA. RefSeq lists it as uncharacterized. The record is from RefSeq and is a predicted model, not a curated record. Lineage: Eukaryota; Metazoa; Chordata; Mammalia; Perissodactyla; Equidae.
GGUGGGGAAGCCACAUCAGCCCUCAGGGAGAAGCUUAUGUGUUCUGCAUUUUAAUAAUGGGAUUAAUCUCUGAGAAAAACCUGCCACACCUUGGGAGUGGAUCCUCUGUCUCAGCACAGUUCAGAGAGAAGCUCUUUAGUCUGAUGAAGCCCCACUUGUUUAUUUUUUCUUUUGUUUCCUUUUUCUGAGAAGACAUGGCAACACCUUGUUUUUUUACCAAGGCAGAAAAUCUUUCUCAUCACCUCUCUAGAAGACUUCUUCACAUCACUGGCCAGAACCAGGGCCCAUCAACCACUUCUAGGUACAAAGUUAGCUUUAAAAUGCCUUUGGCAUUUUCAUCCUUUGCCGGGGAAGAGGGGGUCUGCAACAAGAAGGAAGAGGGAGAGGGGACUGAUGGAUAGUUGGCGACUGACAGUGACUGCUGCCGACCCAACGGAUGAAGGGAUGGUGGAUCUGCUGCAGAGGAAGAAGAAGACCAAAUCCUUGGGGCUUGUAGGAUGAAGAGGAGGAGGGCUCUUGGGGUUGAGAAUCGCCUGUGUCUUGGAGUCCCAAGCACAACCAUGGACUGUGUCUUUGGUGUGAGAGAUGCUCCACCCACACUGGGGCUGGGGUUUACUUAAAUCAUGAGAUCAAAGCUG